GAAGAUGACGAAACUAAUGUGCUGAUGGU
Molecule: non-coding RNA, 29 nt
Filed under: Rattus norvegicus (Norway rat)
Lineage: Eukaryota; Metazoa; Chordata; Mammalia; Rodentia; Muridae
Source: RNAcentral